GUGAACCUGCGGAAGGAUCAUUAUUGAAAUAAACCUGAUGAGUUGCUGCUGGUUCUCUAGGGAGCAUGUGCACACUUGUCAUCUUUAUAUCUCCACCUGUGCACCUUUUGUAGACCUGGAUAUCUCUCUGAAUGCUAGUCACUCAGGUUUGAGGAUUGACUUUAUGUCUCUCCUUACAUUUCCAGGCCUAUGUUUCUUUAUAUACCCCAAUGUAUGUCAUAGAAUGUAACCAAUGGGCCUUUGUGCCUAUAAACCUAUACAACUUUCAGCAACGGAUCUCUUGGCUCUCGCAUCGAUGAAGAACGCAGCGAAAUGCGAUAAGUAAUGUGAAUUGCAGAAUUCAGUGAAUCAUCGAAUCUUUGAACGCACCUUGCGCUCCUUGGUAUUCCGAGGAGCAUGCCUGUUUGAGUGUCAUUAAUAUAUCAACCUCUUCAACUUUUGUUUGUCGAGUGUUGGAUUUGGGGGUCCUUUUUGCUGGUCUUCUAAAGGUCAGCUCCCCUGAAAUGCAUUAGCAGAACAAUUUGUGGAUCGUUCAUUGGUGUGAUAACUAUCUACGCUAUUGACGUGAAACAGUUCAGCUUCUAACAGUCCAUUGACUUGGACAAAUUUUCAUUAAUGUGACCUCAAAUCAGGUAGGACUACCCGCUGAACUUAAGCAUAUCAAUAAGCGGAGGAAAAGAAACUAACAAGGAUUCCCCUAGUAACUGCGAGUGAAGCGGGAAAAGCUCAAAUUUAAAAUCUGUCAGUCUUUGGCUGUCCGAGUUGUA
RNAcentral lists this ribosomal RNA (767 nucleotides) under Phlegmacium misermontii. Its description in RNAcentral is "eukaryotic LSU rRNA". The stretch from base 261 to 414 matches the Rfam family "5.8S ribosomal RNA". The record is from RNAcentral. Lineage: Eukaryota; Fungi; Basidiomycota; Agaricomycetes; Agaricales; Cortinariaceae.